RNAcentral lists this ribosomal RNA (153 nucleotides) under uncultured bacterium. RNAcentral describes it as "partial 16S ribosomal RNA". It matches the Rfam family "Bacterial small subunit ribosomal RNA", at positions 355 to 508 of the family's 1533-position model. The record is from RNAcentral.
UGAGGAAUAUUGGUCAAUGGGCGAAAGCCUGAACCAGCAAUGCCGCGUGUGGGAUGAAGGGGCUCUGCCUCGUAAACCACUGUCGGACGGGACGAAAAGGGGUAUAAACCCCUGGGACGGUACCGUCAAAGGAAGGGUCGGCUAACUACGUGC